This 427-nucleotide long non-coding RNA is filed under the name Salmo salar (Atlantic salmon). RNAcentral describes it as "lncRNA (ENSSSAG00000112306.1)". The record is from RNAcentral. Lineage: Eukaryota; Metazoa; Chordata; Actinopteri; Salmoniformes; Salmonidae.
GUUCAGGGCAGGGUACUGGGUGGAGGCUAGUAACAGUAACUAAGGUUCAGGGCAGGGUACUGGGUGGAGGCUAGUAACAGUAACUAAGGUUCAGGGCAGGGUACUGGGUGGAGGCUAGCAGGCUAGUAACAGUAACUAAGGUUCAGGGCAGGGUACUGGGUGGAGGCUAGUAACAGUAACUAAGGUUCAGGGCAGGGUACUGGGUGGAGGCUGGCUAGUAACAGUAACUAAGGUUCAGGGCAGGGUACUGGGUGGAGGCUAGUAACAGUAACUAAGGUUCAGGGCAGGGUACUGGGUGGAGGCUGGCUAGUAACAGUAACUAAGGUUCAGGGCAGGGUACUGGGUGGAGGCUGGCUAGUAACAGUAACUAAGGUUCAGGGCAGGGUACUGGGUGGAGGCUAGUAACAGUAACUAAGGUUCAGGGCAG